This 255-nucleotide ribosomal RNA is filed under the name uncultured bacterium. Its description in RNAcentral is "partial 16S ribosomal RNA". It matches the Rfam family "Bacterial small subunit ribosomal RNA", at positions 99 to 354 of the family's 1533-position model. The record is from RNAcentral.
CGGACGGGUGAGUAACGCGUGGGCAACCUGCCCUGUACUGGGGGAUAACACCUGGAAACAGGUGCUAAUACCGCAUAAGCGCGCAGUGCCGCAUGGCGCGGCGCGGAAAACCCCGGUGGUACAGGAUGGGCCCGCGUCUGAUUAGCUGGUUGGCAGGGUAACGGCCUACCAAGGCGACGAUCAGUAGCCGGCCUGAGAGGUUGGCCGGCCACAUUGGGACUGAGACACGGCCCAGACUCCUACGGAAGGCAGCAG